GCCUUUGUGGUGUAAUGGUUAGCACACUCAGCACAUAUUCGAGAGGUCAAGGUUCAAGUCCUGGCAAGGGCA
This 72-nucleotide transfer RNA is filed under the name Stegodyphus mimosarum. It matches the Rfam family "tRNA". Rfam says of the family: Transfer RNA (tRNA) molecules are approximately 80 nucleotides in length. Their secondary structure includes four short double-helical elements and three loops (D, anti-codon, and T loops). The record is from Rfam by way of RNAcentral. Lineage: Eukaryota; Metazoa; Arthropoda; Arachnida; Araneae; Eresidae.